GCUCUUGUGGUGUAACUGGAUAGCAUACAGGUCUUCGAAACCUGUGGUUAGAGUUCAAAUCUCUACAAGAGCA
This 73-nucleotide transfer RNA is filed under the name Alphaproteobacteria bacterium TMED62. RNAcentral's name for it is "tRNA-Arg". It matches the Rfam family "tRNA". Rfam says of the family: Transfer RNA (tRNA) molecules are approximately 80 nucleotides in length. Their secondary structure includes four short double-helical elements and three loops (D, anti-codon, and T loops). Lineage: Bacteria; Pseudomonadati; Pseudomonadota; Alphaproteobacteria. The record is from RNAcentral. RNAcentral also lists the same sequence under 1 other name.